RNAcentral lists this ribosomal RNA (474 nucleotides) under uncultured bacterium. Its description in RNAcentral is "SSU rRNA". It matches the Rfam family "Bacterial small subunit ribosomal RNA", at positions 26 to 518 of the family's 1533-position model. The record is from RNAcentral.
AGGACGAACGCUGGCGGCGUGCUUAACACAUGCAAGUCGAGCGGAAAGGCCCUUCGGGGUACUCGAGCGGCGAACGGGUGAGUAACACGUGAGCAAUCUGCCCCUAGCUUCGGGAUAGCUCCGGGAAACCGGAAUUAAUACCGAAUAUUACUACGGCCGACAUCGGCUGUGGUGGAAAGUUUUUCGGCUAGGGAUGAGCUCGCGGCCUAUCAGCUUGUUGGUGAGGUAACGGCUCACCAAGGCGACGACGGGUAGCCGGCCUGAGAGGGCGACCGGCCACACUGGGACUGAGACACGGCCCAGACUCCUACGGGAGGCAGCAGUGGGGAAUAUUGCGCAAUGGGCGAAAGCCUGACGCAGCGACGCCGCGUGCGGGAUGAAGGCCUUCGGGUUGUAAACCGCUUUCAGCAGGGACGAAGCGAAAGUGACGGUACCUGCAGAAGAAGCGCCGGCUAACUACGUGCCAGCAGCCGC